This 763-nucleotide ribosomal RNA is filed under the name uncultured Streptococcus sp. Its description in RNAcentral is "bacterial SSU rRNA". It matches the Rfam family "Bacterial small subunit ribosomal RNA", at positions 28 to 776 of the family's 1533-position model. Lineage: Bacteria; Bacillati; Bacillota; Bacilli; Lactobacillales; Streptococcaceae. The record is from RNAcentral.
GACGAACGCUGGCGGCGUGCCUAAUACAUGCAAGUAGAACGCUGAAGGAGGAGCUUGCUUCUCUGGAUGAGUUGCGAACGGGUGAGUAACGCGUAGGUAACCUGCCUGGUAGCGGGGGAUAACUAUUGGAAACGAUAGCUAAUACCGCAUAAGAGUAGAUGUUGCAUGACAUUUGCUUAAAAGGUGCAAUUGCAUCACUACCAGAUGGACCUGCGUUGUAUUAGCUAGUUGGUGGGGUAACGGCUCACCAAGGCGACGAUACAUAGCCGACCUGAGAGGGUGAUCGGCCACACUGGGACUGAGACACGGCCCAGACUCCUACGGGAGGCAGCAGUAGGGAAUCUUCGGCAAUGGACGGAAGUCUGACCGAGCAGCGCCGCGUGAGUGAAGAAGGUUUUCGGAUCGUAAAGCUCUGUUGUAAGAGAAGAACGAGUGUGAGAGUGGAAAGUUCACGCUGUGACGGUAUCUUACCAGAAAGGGACGGCUAACUACGUGCCAGCAGCCGCGGUAAUACGUAGGUCCCGAGCGUUGUCCGGAUUUAUUGGGCGUAAAGCGAGCGCAGGCGGUUAGAUAAGUCUGAAGUUAAAGGCUGUGGCUUAACCAUAGUACGCUUUGGAAACUGUUUAACUUGAGUGCAAGAGGGGAGAGUGGAAUUCCAUGUGUAGCGGUGAAAUGCGUAGAUAUAUGGAGGAACACCGGUGGCGAAAGCGGCUCUCUGGCUUGUAACUGACGCUGAGGCUCGAAAGCGUGGGGAGCAAACAGG